UGGGGCAUAGCUCAGUGCUAGAGCACAUGCUUAGCAUGCACCAGACCCUGGGUUCAAUCCCCAGUACCCCCA
Molecule: transfer RNA, 72 nt
Filed under: Camelus bactrianus (Bactrian camel)
Lineage: Eukaryota; Metazoa; Chordata; Mammalia; Artiodactyla; Camelidae
Also listed under: 1 other name
Rfam family: tRNA
About the family: Transfer RNA (tRNA) molecules are approximately 80 nucleotides in length. Their secondary structure includes four short double-helical elements and three loops (D, anti-codon, and T loops).
Source: Rfam by way of RNAcentral